GUGCUCGCUUCAGCAGCACAUAUACUAAAAUUGAAAUGCCCCUAUGCAAGGAUGGCAUACACAUUUGUGAAGCCGUCUAUAGUUUU
This is a small nuclear RNA of Homo sapiens (human), 86 nucleotides long. NCBI's taxonomy places the organism in Eukaryota, Metazoa, Chordata, Mammalia, Primates, Hominidae. The record is from Ensembl.